Salvia miltiorrhiza (redroot sage) is the source of this 529-nucleotide long non-coding RNA. RefSeq lists it as uncharacterized. The transcript has 2 exons. The record is from RefSeq and is a predicted model, not a curated record. NCBI's taxonomy places the organism in Eukaryota, Viridiplantae, Streptophyta, Magnoliopsida, Lamiales, Lamiaceae.
UAUGGGUUUAAGUUUUAUUAAAAAUGUUUGGACUCAACCUUUAAUUUCUUAAUGGGCUGUAGGAUUUUAUUUUAAAUAGGUUAUAUUUGUUUUUAAAAUAAAUAUCAACCCACCCAAAUCUUUUUAUAAGAAAAUAUAUUUUAUUACUUAAAUUUAUUAGAUCAAUUAUUUUUAUAUGAUCCAAUAAUCUAAAUUAUUUUAAAGUUCAAAUAGGCCCUUAUAUGUUAUUAUUUGAAUUUAUCUGACUAGGUGCGGCGCGACUAGGAUAUGAAUUUUAAUUGUAUUACUCAAGUUAGCAUUCAAGUUGAAGUUCAAGUUCAAGUUAAAUUUCCAGUUUCAGGUGAUUGAUAUCGGAGGCGCGUGGAGAGUCGAAUGGGCGCGUCGAAUCUAUUUAAAGAUAAAUGUUUCCUAAAACAUAUUAUGUUAUUUCAUGUGAUAUCUCUUGAUUAUGUAAACUCUGAAAUUCUAUACUAUUUGAGAUUUGUGUGUGAUUUGUUUAAAUAAAUGUUAUUAUAUUAUUUUAAUGUCA